GGAGCGAGGGGACGCAGGGGAGAAGGGGACGCCGCGGAGAACUAGGAGACGUGGGGGUGGGUGACUCCUAGGAGGGAUGUGAGAGAAGAGCAGGAAUUUAGGAUCAACUGUGAGUCCUGAGGUGCCAGCCCCCAGGCUGUCAGAAAAGCAGGAAGCCAAAGGCUCCUUGUCUUUCCUCUGGGAGGGAAGUCAGCGGCAAUUACUGAUACCACCUCCAGGUGGACAGACACCAUCAGCCACACGGCAAAGUCACUGUGAGAACUUCAGAACCUGCGUCCAGAGUCUACUGGAAGGCUGCCCCACACCAAGGAAAGACCAGUGUCACUCUAUUUCAAUAAUUUUUUUUGGCCAGGCCAGGUGGCUCACACCUGUAAUCCCAGCACUUUGGGAACGAGACCCUGU
Long non-coding RNA from Rhinopithecus roxellana (golden snub-nosed monkey), 402 nucleotides. RefSeq lists it as uncharacterized. The transcript is spliced from 3 exons. Lineage: Eukaryota; Metazoa; Chordata; Mammalia; Primates; Cercopithecidae. The record is from RefSeq and is a predicted model, not a curated record.